CAGUCGCCGCGGGAAUACGAAGGGGGCUAGCGUUGUUCGGAUUUACUGGGCGUAAAGGGCGCGUAGGCGGACUGAUAAGUCAGGGGUGAAAUCCCAAGGCUCAACCUUGGAACUGCCUUUGAUACUGUUUGUCUUGAGUUCGAGAGAGGUAAGUGGAACUGCGAGCGUAGAGGUGAAAUUCGUAGAUAUUCGCAAGAACACCAGUGGCGAAGGCGGCUCACUGGCCCGAUACUGACGCUGAGGCACGAAAGCGUGGGGAGCAAACAGGAUUAGAUACCCCGGUAGUCCCUGUCUCUUAUAC
This 301-nucleotide ribosomal RNA is filed under the name uncultured bacterium. RNAcentral's name for it is "partial 16S ribosomal RNA". It matches the Rfam family "Bacterial small subunit ribosomal RNA", at positions 509 to 807 of the family's 1533-position model. The record is from RNAcentral.